CCAAACAGUAACAUAAUUGCAGUUGAAUUUCCAACUGAUGAUGAUGCAGGGGAGGAUGUCCAGGUGGUUGGCAAGACGCCCAACCAAGGUGACCACAAUGGUAGUGAUCAUCAUCGUGUCGACACCGACGAUGACGCGCAUAGGUCGCAAGGAGAUAGCGACAACGCCGCGCACGACACAGGCGGAGAUCUCGACGACAACAUCGACAACGAGGCGCAUAGUGACGACGACAAUCAAGAUGAUGGUCACGGUCACAAC
RNAcentral lists this long non-coding RNA (258 nucleotides) under Hordeum vulgare. RNAcentral describes it as "long non-coding RNA (HVUL_LNC002907)". Lineage: Eukaryota; Viridiplantae; Streptophyta; Magnoliopsida; Poales; Poaceae. The record is from RNAcentral.